Molecule: transfer RNA, 76 nt
Filed under: Candidatus Syntrophonatronum acetioxidans
Lineage: Bacteria; Bacillati; Bacillota; Clostridia; Eubacteriales; Syntrophomonadaceae
Description: tRNA-Arg
Rfam family: tRNA
About the family: Transfer RNA (tRNA) molecules are approximately 80 nucleotides in length. Their secondary structure includes four short double-helical elements and three loops (D, anti-codon, and T loops).
Source: RNAcentral
GCGCCUGUAGCUCAGCGGAUAGAGCAACGGACUUCUAAUCCGUGGGUCGGAGGUUCGAUCCCUCCCAGGCGUGCCA